RNAcentral lists this ribosomal RNA (492 nucleotides) under uncultured bacterium. RNAcentral describes it as "partial 16S ribosomal RNA". It matches the Rfam family "Bacterial small subunit ribosomal RNA", at positions 29 to 507 of the family's 1533-position model. The record is from RNAcentral.
AGUGAACGCUGGCGGUAGGCCUAACACAUGCAAGUCGAACGGCAGCACAGUAAGAGCUUGCUCUUACGGGUGGCGAGUGGCGGACGGGUGAGGAAUACAUCGGAAUCUACUUUUUCGUGGGGGAUAACGUAGGGAAACUUACGCUAAUACCGCAUACGACCUACGGGUGAAAGCAGGGGAUCUUCGGACCUUGCGCGAUUGAAUGAGCCGAUGUCGGAUUAGCUAGUUGGCGGGGUAAAGGCCCACCAAGGCGACGAUCCGUAGCUGGUCUGAGAGGAUGAUCAGCCACACUGGAACUGAGACACGGUCCAGACUCCUACGGGAGGCAGCAGUGGGGAAUAUUGGACAAUGGGCGCAAGCCUGAUCCAGCCAUACCGCGUGAGUGAAGAAGGUCUUCGGGUUGUAAAGCCCUUUUGUUGGGAAAGAAAAACAGCAGGUUAAUACCCCGCUGUUCUGACGGUACCCAAAGAAUAAGCACCGGCUAACUUCGUG